CACUGCAGUCGACGAGAAGUGGAGCAAUCCAUGAGUAAAGUGGCGCACGGGUGAGUAACACGUGACUAACUUACCCUUGAGUGGGGAAUAACCUCGGGAAACCGGGGCUAAUACCGCAUAACACCUUCGGGUCAAAGGAGCAAUUCGCUUAAGGAGGGGGUCGCGGCUGAUUAGCUAGUUGGUGGGGUAAUGGCCUACCAAGGCAAUGAUCAGUAUCCGGCCUGAGAGGGCGCACGGACACACUGGAACUGAAACACGGUCCAGACUCCUACGGGAGGCAGCAGUGGGGAAUUUUGCACAAUGGGGGAAACCCUGAUGCAGCAACGCCGCGUGGAGGAUGAAGUCCCUUGGGAUGUAAACUCCUUUCGACCGGGACGAUUAUGACGGUACCGGUGGAAGAAGCCCCGGCUAACUCUGUGCCAGCAGCCGCGGUAAUACAGAGGGGGCAAGCGUUGUUCGGAAUUAUUGGGCGUAAAGGGUGCGUAGGCGGUGCGGUAAGUCUUCUGUGAAAUCUCCGGGCUCAACUCGGAGCCUGCAGGAGAAACUGCCGUGCUUGAGUAUGGGAGAGGUGAGUGGAAUUCCUGGUGUAGCGGUGAAAUGCGUAGAUAUCAGGAGGAACACCUGUGGCGAAAGCGGCUCACUGGACCAUAACUGACGCUGAGGCACGAAAGCUAGGGGAGCAAACAGGAUUAGAUACCCUGGUAGUCCUAGCCCUAAACGAUGAUUGCUUGGUGUAGCAGGUACCCAAUCCUGCUGUGCCGCAGCUAACGCGUUAAGCAAUCCGCCUGGGGAGUACGGUCGCAAGGCUG
RNAcentral lists this ribosomal RNA (809 nucleotides) under uncultured Acidobacteriota bacterium. RNAcentral's name for it is "bacterial SSU rRNA". It matches the Rfam family "Bacterial small subunit ribosomal RNA", at positions 52 to 896 of the family's 1533-position model. The record is from RNAcentral. Lineage: Bacteria; Pseudomonadati; Acidobacteriota.